UACGAACUGUGCGAACGUUAUUCGGAAUCACUGGGCUUAAAGGGUGCGUAGGCGGCGCUGUAAGUCAGGUGUGAAAUCCCCCGGCUCAACCGGGGAAUGGCGCUUGAAACUGCAGUGCUUGAGUGAGGUAGGGGUGCAUGGAACUUCCGGUGGAGCGGUGAAAUGUGUAGAUAUCGGGAGGAACACCAGUGGCGAAGGCGACUACCUGGCCUGUUCUUGACGCUGAGGCGCGAAAGCUAGGGGAGCAAACGGG
This 253-nucleotide ribosomal RNA is filed under the name uncultured bacterium. RNAcentral describes it as "partial 16S ribosomal RNA". It matches the Rfam family "Bacterial small subunit ribosomal RNA", at positions 524 to 776 of the family's 1533-position model. The record is from RNAcentral.